Molecule: long non-coding RNA, 851 nt
Organism: Drosophila yakuba
Lineage: Eukaryota; Metazoa; Arthropoda; Insecta; Diptera; Drosophilidae
Exons: 2
Source: RefSeq, a predicted model, not a curated record
AGUUCCCUGUGUAGUUGAUGUCAUUAUCUUGCUAUCUAGAAAUUUUAUCCGCAGCUCUGGAAUCGUUAUAUUUGCCGAAAGGGGGAGCCAAGCUAAUCAGCAGCGGGAUUUGAUUUUGGAGCUCGACAGUUGGAUCAACAAAUUACACCCACUUCAAUAAUGAGAGGCCAUUAAGUGAUAAAUUAUGGUCGAGCAUGUGACCGGGGACUUUUUGAAUUUUAAUCAAGCUAAAAUUUGAGGCAGUUGCCAUCGGGUCAGGGUCGAAAGCCAUAAUUUCACUUUCAUUACUGACUGCUGCUCCUUGGAAUGUCCUGUUAAUGUGCCAUGCUCGAGUGGAGCAUAAAUCUAUUUAUGCGGUCCUCCGCAGCUUUCGCUACGGCUUGAACCCUUGGCGAAACUAUAUCGGCGGUAUGGGUCUUGUCUCAACUUAUCAGAUCGUAUAAUUUAGCGCAGAUAAUUGUUUUAAUGAUGUCAUAAUUUUGCCUUGAUGGCGUGCUUACAAAAUGGCUUCAACUGAUUUAUGCUCGACUCCGAUUCGAAUGCCCAUUCCCUCGAAGAGUGGAGGCGUUGGCCUGGGGGCUUGUGCACUUGUAGAUACCGCAGAUAGUGGCAUACGUAACCAGUUUGCCGCUCAACAAAAGAGUAAAUAACGGCAUUGCAUGAUUUAUGUGGAAAUAACAAACAAAAACGCAACCAAACGAAAUGCAGACGAAAAAAAAGACGAAAGAUCUUUCAAAGAAGUUUUUAAUGUCUUAUAUUAAUGGAAUAUGUUUAUUAUAUAUUUCUUAUACAUAGAUAUUUUUUUGCUUUUACCUAAUGAAAAUCGCAAUCUUUAUUCAUUUGGAACCUAA